Molecule: unclassified non-coding RNA, 335 nt
Filed under: uncultured Ophiostomataceae
Lineage: Eukaryota; Fungi; Ascomycota; Sordariomycetes; Ophiostomatales
Description: sequence contains ITS1
Rfam family: 5.8S ribosomal RNA (bases 1-105)
Source: RNAcentral
GAAAUGCGAUACGCAAUGCGAAUUGCAGAAUUCCGCGAGUCAUCAGAUCUUUGAACGCAGCCCGCGCAGGAGGGGAAUCCUUCCUGCAUGUUUGUUUCAGUGUGUAAGGUUGACUUCACAAACCUCAAUGCGAUUGAGACUCCUUCUCUUCGGAGGAAGAAUCUCUCUCGUUAAAGAUGAGCGUGUGCGGUUGAGCCCGCCAACGGAGUGGUCACUGUUCUUCAGUGAUUUCGUUGGGCAAACAGGUUCUUCCAACAACAAAAAUCACACGUUUUUUUAAUUAACAACUCUUCAAUCCGCACCUGAAAUCAAGCAAGAUUACCCGCUGAACUUAA